GUCACAGGUGGUGCGGCACUCAAUCUUGAGCGCAGCGCCGAAUGCGCAGUACCUAACGAAGACGGUAAAAAG
Molecule: non-coding RNA, 72 nt
Organism: Pseudomonas sp. ABAC61
Lineage: Bacteria; Pseudomonadati; Pseudomonadota; Gammaproteobacteria; Pseudomonadales; Pseudomonadaceae
Source: Rfam